GAUGAACGCUAGCGGCAGGCUUAACACAUGCAAGUCGAGGGGUAUUGGUUUUCGGACCAAGAGACCGGCGCACGGGUGCGUAACGCGUAUGCAAUCUACCUUUUGCAGAGGGAUAGCCCAGAGAAAUUUGGAUUAAUACCUCAUAGUAUAGUACUUUGGCAUCAAGGAACUAUUAAAGUCACAACGGCAAAAGAUGAGCAUGCGUCCCAUUAGCUAGUUGGUAAGGUAACGGCUUACCAAGGCUACGAUGGGUAGGGGUCCUGAGAGGGAGAUCCCCCACACUGGUACUGAGACACGGACCAGACUCCUACGGGAGGCAGCAGUGAGGAAUAUUGGACAAUGGGCGCAAGCCUGAUCCAGCCAUGCCGCGUGCAGGAUGACGGUCCUAUGGAUUGUAAACUGC
Molecule: ribosomal RNA, 403 nt
Filed under: uncultured bacterium
Lineage: Bacteria
Description: bacterial SSU rRNA
Rfam family: Bacterial small subunit ribosomal RNA
Source: RNAcentral